Molecule: ribosomal RNA, 486 nt
Filed under: uncultured bacterium
Lineage: Bacteria
Description: bacterial SSU rRNA
Rfam family: Bacterial small subunit ribosomal RNA
Source: RNAcentral
GAUUAUGGCUCAGGACGAACGCUGGCGGCGUGCCUAACACAUGCAAGUCGAGCGAGGAGAUCCUUCGGGAUGAUCCUAGCGGCGGACGGGUGAGUAACACGUGGGCAACCUGCCUCAUAGAGAGGAAUAGCCUUCCGAAAGGGAGAUUAAUACCUCAUAACAUUGCAGUUUCGCAUGGAACAGCAAUUAAAGGAGUAAUCCGCUACGAGAUGGGCCCGCGGCGCAUUAGCUAGUUGGUGAGGUAACGGCUCACCAAGGCGACGAUGCGUAGCCGACCUGAGAGGGUGAUCGGCCACAUUGGGACUGAGACACGGCCCAGACUCCUACGGGAGGCAGCAGUGGGGAAUAUUGCACAAUGGGGGAAACCCUGAUGCCAGCAACGCCGCGUGAGUGAUGACGGCCUUCGGGUUGUAAAGCUCUGUCUUCAGGGACGAUAAUGACGGUACCUGAGGAGGAAGCCACGGCUAACUACGUGCCAGCCGCGGC